Long non-coding RNA from Erpetoichthys calabaricus (reedfish), 406 nucleotides. RefSeq lists it as uncharacterized. NCBI's taxonomy places the organism in Eukaryota, Metazoa, Chordata, Cladistia, Polypteriformes, Polypteridae. The record is from RefSeq and is a predicted model, not a curated record. The transcript is spliced from 5 exons.
GAUAAUGUGAUUGAUUUUUUUGGGGGUUAACGAGCGUAAUAUGCCCGGAAAGAAGAGAAAAUAUAACGCAAGGUUUCCACCUUACUUGUUUAUUUUAGGCCCGCAUUAAGAAAAUAAUGCAGAAAGACAAAGAAGUUGGAAAGGUUGCAUCUGCAGUUCCUGUUCUAAUAUCAAGAGCCUUGGAGUUGUUCUUAAAAUCUCUCUUAACAAAGAGCUGUCAAAUCACCCAAUCAAAGCACACAAGAACAAUGACGCAGGGACAUAUCAGUGCAUUGAAACAGAGAAGCAUUUUCAUUUCUUAAAGGAUAUGGUAAAUCGCUUCUCAUCUCUCAGACCAUCUCAGGAACAGGCCUGUAGCAAAUCGGGUGGCAGAAAAAGUUGGCAAGAUGUAGGGGCAAAAUACAAA